Molecule: long non-coding RNA, 459 nt
Filed under: Elaeis guineensis (African oil palm)
Lineage: Eukaryota; Viridiplantae; Streptophyta; Magnoliopsida; Arecales; Arecaceae
Description: long non-coding RNA (EGUI_LNC080115)
Source: RNAcentral
CCCGGGACGGCCGCACCGCCCGCAUUAAAUGCCGGAGGGGGCGCCGGCCAACCACCUUGACACGUGGCACGCGGUGCGCGGCCCUGCAUUCAAUCACCCACGCCGAUUCGCGUUCCCGAUGGGACGCCUGACAGUGGCCCUCUCUUCCACGAUCGGCGCCGGAUAUCCGAUCGACUAACGCCGUAUCGUCCGGCACCCGAUCUUCUGACACCGACGUAACGACUGACGACGACAAGACGUGGCGUCUGACAUCUGACGCCGACGUGAUGUCUGACAUCGACUAGACACCCGGAUCACUUGGAAUUCGUGAGGUGUCUGACAACGGAUCAGCCGGCGGUACGGUCGGAUCUGCACAUGCGACAAAUCCACUCCCAGUCGUCCGGGCUCGCUACCCGAAUGAGGGCAUCGGCCAGCUCUCCACCCGACUUAGGAGUGGAGGGGGGCAACUGUUGGGGGAUA